UGGUUCAGAUUUAAUAUAAAUCCUAGUCUAGUCCCCUUGGGUUGCAAAGGAAUCUCUCUUUCAGUUCCUUGAAAUUUUUUGGUACAGGUGUAUUGAUGUUGUUGAACAUACAUCAAUAUCUUGUCAAAGUAUAAGUAUCUUUCUGAGUUUUGAUGCAAUGUCUCACCAGUGUUUUUCUCUCUUUCAUCUCUCUACUUAUUACACAGUAAUAGACUAUACUUCUUGUUUGGUGUAGAACAAAAAGCUUGAUAAUAGUUCGAUCAAAGUAUGUUUAUGUCAUUAGACCUUUGAUUGUAUAUAUAUAUGACUUGAGAGAAGAUCUUCUUGAUUGGAGCAGAUCUUUGAGAGAUAGGCAAUCCAAAAGAAUUGAUCCUUGAAAUGAACCUUAAUUGAUUCCUUUCAGAAAUAAGUUGGAACUUUCCUAUACUUGGACCCUGAAGUACGGCGUGAUAGAUGUUGCUUCCUCGAUCAGCGUAACUUGAUAUCUUUUGCAAAUCUUCCAUAUAAUGCGUCUGAUAUGAUUGCCCUUAACUUUCGUGAUUAAGAAUUGAGACUGGAUAUUGAUCUUCCUUGAUCCCUGUGAUUUGGAACUAAGAGCAGAAUUGAUUCUUCAAUCUUAGCCUUCCUUCUUUGGAUAGCUUCUGAAUCAUUAGUUGGCUCUUACUUCCUUCUUUGGAUAGCUUCCAGAUCCUUGAUUGCCUGCAAUAGAAAUAAGUUAUUGUUUACCAUUAAAACUCAGAUCUAACAUUAACAAGUAUGAGUUGGAAAUGGUUUAAAGGUCUUUUAAUUAUAUAUUAGGCUAUCAACUAGGUAAUUGGCUGUAGCAAGUAUGAUUUGAUAGCUUUAAGAAAUAGAAAAUAUCCCAUUAUAGUUGGUUACAACAUAGUAGUUAAAUAAAAUUUUAAUGGGAAAAGCAUAAAAAGAACCCCAAACUUAUUUCGGAUUACCAGAUACACAUUUAAACUUUGCGAGUGUCUUGUGACUCCCUUAUACUAUUUUGAACUAGAAUUAUUAACUCCCUAAGGAGUCGUUUGGUAUGAGGUAUAAGUACAAAUAGUGUUGGAAUAAAAAUUUAAUACCACCUUAAUAUUUUAUUUGGUUAGCAAACCUGAGAUAAGUUAUCUCGGGAUUAAAAUAAAUACCGGGAUAACUUAUACCUUGUAGGGUGUGGAGUAAUUAGUGUCGGGAUAGCUUAUACCUUCUUCUUAGAAAUUAUGUAAAUAUCAUUUUUAAUACAACAUACCAAACAGUGGAUAAAAAAUAAUCUCAGCAUAACUAAUCCCAGCAUAACUUAUCCUAGCAUAACCUAUAUUCAAACCAAACGACCCUUAAGUGUUGAGGCGGUAAAGAAAGUGUAAUCCGGGACAUUUUUGAUAGCGUUUUUAUGCUUUUUCCAGAUUUUACGUUCGCAAUGUCUAUAUAUCAAAUACAAUUUUGAAAACCAUGCCACUUGAUGGUGUACAUAACUUGUUUGUUUUCGAAAUGAAUCUGAUUUUUGCACCAAAUCUGCGCGAGUUCCCUGAAUUUAUAGCUACGGGACCUAUGAAUUUUCUAUUUUUCAGUUUUCUUAAUUCUGAGCUAGCACUAGGCAAAGAAACUUUCAUGAAAGACCCAUAGAAACCAAGAGAAUAGCAAAAGAUACACAAGAAUUGAAGAAGUAUACAAAAUUCAAUUUGAUAAUGAAAAAUCUGUGACAUAAGUCUAGAGGUCAAUAUGUGACAGUUCAUUCAUAGUAUUAUGAACUCAUGAGUAACUUCAUGGAUACUGUUAAGUGGUCCUAGCAUAAUUGAAAUUUUGCUAUUUUUUUUAUCAACAGUAUUAAAAGUUAUAUGAUUUAAAAAAAAGAUGUGGAUUUAAUUUUGUGGGCAUGGGAGGUUUCCAAAAUUGCAAAUUAAAAUUAAAGUUAUUCAUCAUGAAAGAAAAUCAGAUACUCCACUAAAAUGACAAUUUAAUUUUUAUCUUAUAAUGAUCUAUCGUUUUGAGUCAAUGACUAAACUAUUCUAUUUGCUUCCUUCGGAAAUCCCAUUUAUUUGGAGAAGAAAUCAAAAAAACAGUCAACAGAUUCUUAAAGUAUGAAAAAGACAAUAUUUAAGAAUUAAAUUGCCAUGAGAUGGCUUAAGAGUUAAGACUCGUGGGAAUUCACCUCUUGCUUGGUUUUUGUCCAAAAAUAAAUUAAAUGAAUAAAUCUUGUUGCGUGCAAUAUAAUUGUGUAAGAAUGACAUUAGAAAAUAGAGGAAAACUAAAUUAUAACACAAAUAUUUGUUGUUAUAGCGAAUCUACGGUAUCUUACGUGUUGAUUGUGUUAUCAUCUUCUCUGUCGUUGGUGUCUUUCACCGUUAGUUCUGGAUCAUCCGAUAAGUCGUCGUCUUCUUCUUGGAAUGAAAUGGUGUUUUUUGUCGUUGUGAUAGAAAUAUCUGUGGUUAAGGUGUUUUUGUGAUGGUGGUGUGGAGUGGUGAGGUUGUGUGAUAACACGGGUAUGCCCCAUCUAUGUCCGUGUAUUUCUUGU
This 2506-nucleotide long non-coding RNA is filed under the name Nicotiana tabacum (common tobacco). RNAcentral describes it as "long non-coding RNA (NTAB_LNC013737)". Lineage: Eukaryota; Viridiplantae; Streptophyta; Magnoliopsida; Solanales; Solanaceae. The record is from RNAcentral.